AGCUGGCUGAACCCGGGCCAAAUUAUUUCAUUGUUCUGACAUUUGGUCCCCUUCAACCAGCUGU
This 64-nucleotide microRNA precursor is filed under the name Limulus polyphemus (Atlantic horseshoe crab). Lineage: Eukaryota; Metazoa; Arthropoda; Merostomata; Xiphosura; Limulidae. The record is from RNAcentral.